RNAcentral lists this ribosomal RNA (484 nucleotides) under uncultured bacterium. Its description in RNAcentral is "partial 16S ribosomal RNA". It matches the Rfam family "Bacterial small subunit ribosomal RNA", at positions 36 to 507 of the family's 1533-position model. The record is from RNAcentral.
CUUUCCCUCUUUCUUCCUGCUUUACACAUGCAAGUCGAACGGCAGCGCGGGCUUCGGCCUGGCGGCGAGUGGCGAACGGGUGAGUAAUACAUCGGAACGUGCCCAGUAGUGGGGGAUAGCUCGGCGAAAGCCGGAUUAAUACCGCAUACGACCUGAGGGUGAAAGCGGGGGAUCUUCGGACCUCGCGCUAUUGGAGCGGCCGAUGGCAGAUUAGCUAGUUGGUGGGGUAAAGGCCUACCAAGGCGACGAUCUGUAGCUGGUCUGAGAGGACGACCAGCCACACUGGGACUGAGACACGGCCCAGACUCCUACGGGAGGCAGCAGUGGGGAAUUUUGGACAAUGGGCGAAAGCCUGAUCCAGCAAUGCCGCGUGUGUGAUGAAGGCCUUCGGGUUGUAAAGCACUUUUGGCGGGAACGAAAAGGACUGUGCCAAUACCACGGUUCGAUGACGGUACCCGCAGAAUAAGCACCGGCUAACUACGUG